Coturnix japonica (Japanese quail) is the source of this 435-nucleotide long non-coding RNA. RefSeq lists it as uncharacterized. Lineage: Eukaryota; Metazoa; Chordata; Aves; Galliformes; Phasianidae. The record is from RefSeq and is a predicted model, not a curated record.
CCUGUGGGAACACGGGCACAUUGUAGAAAUGAGUACGCUUUUCUCAUUGUUAUUGUUUUAUACUUAAUUUAAUGAUAGUGGGUAUCUCUCUUUAUUGCUGCGUAUUCAUUUAGUGAUGCUUUAUCCCAAGGUUUGGCUCCCAAGCAUUGCUGCUGUAACCUGGUGAUCCCAUGGACCGGAGCCCACUCAUCCUGCAUCCUGAGCCCCAGUGCCAGAAGACACAGGGUGUCUGGCUGUGCUGCUGCUGCAAUUCCAACAGAUGUUAAUUCUCUGCUUCACGAAGCCUGAUGGAUGCUGCUGUGUUAUGACACCCGAGCAGGCUCCUCCAUCAGCACAGGGAGAACGAGUGCCUUGCAGACACCUCCUGCAGCUCAUCAGCCAGCACCAGAUCAAUCCCAGCCCUAAUUGCCAGCAGCCCCUGCUCCAAGCUGGGAC